This 403-nucleotide ribosomal RNA is filed under the name uncultured bacterium. RNAcentral's name for it is "bacterial SSU rRNA". It matches the Rfam family "Bacterial small subunit ribosomal RNA", at positions 64 to 507 of the family's 1533-position model. The record is from RNAcentral.
GAACGCCGUAGCAAUACGGAGUGGCAGACGGGUGAGUAACGCGUGGGAACAUGCCCUUUGGUUCGGAAUAACUCAGGGAAACUUGAGCUAAUACCGGAUACGUCCAAGGCGACUUGGAGAAAGAUUUAUCGCCGGAGGAUUGGCCCGCGUCUGAUUAGCUAGUUGGUGGGGUAAUGGCCUACCAAGGCAACGAUCAGUAGCUGGUCUGAGAGGAUGAUCAGCCACAUUGGGACUGAGACACGGCCCAAACUCCUACGGGAGGCAGCAGUGGGGAAUAUUGGACAAUGGGCGCAAGCCUGAUCCAGCCAUGCCGCGUGAGUGACGAAGGCCUUAGGGUUGUAAAGCUCUUUUGCCUGGGAAGAUAAUGACGGUACCAGGAGAAUAAGCCCCGGCUAACUUCGUG